AUGAAUUGUUAGGACGCUCUUUUUAGAGGUCCGACCCCUUCAUUUCCUUACACUGUGCACACACUUCUUUUUUCACACAUUUUUAACACAUCAGUCUAAAGAAUGUAAAUAGUCUCUUAAUUGAGCAAUAAAUAAAUA
RNAcentral lists this unclassified non-coding RNA (138 nucleotides) under uncultured Occultifur. Its description in RNAcentral is "sequence contains ITS1". Lineage: Eukaryota; Fungi; Basidiomycota; Cystobasidiomycetes; Erythrobasidiales; Erythrobasidiaceae. The record is from RNAcentral.